This is a non-coding RNA of Acanthosepion pharaonis, 111 nucleotides long. The record is from the annotation of a GenBank genome assembly. NCBI's taxonomy places the organism in Eukaryota, Metazoa, Mollusca, Cephalopoda, Sepiida, Sepiidae.
ACGGUUACAUCACGUUGAUACAUUGGUUGCCGUACGAUCCCCGAAGUUAAGCAAUGUCGAGCCUGGUCGGUACCUAGACGGGUGGGCUCUUGGGAAUACCAGGUGCGGUAA